UGGAGAGUUUGAUCCUGGCUCAGAUUGAACGCUGGCGGCAGGCCUAACACAUGCAAGUCGAACGGUAACAGGAAGCAGCUUGCUGCUUUGCUGACGAGUGGCGGACGGGUGAGUAAUGUCUGGGAAACUGCCUGAUGGAGGGGGAUAACUACUGGAAACGGUAGCUAAUACCGCAUAACGUCGCAAGACCAAAGAGGGGGACCUUCGGGCCUCUUGCCAUCGGAUGUGCCCAGAUGGGAUUAGCUAGUAGGUGGGGUAACGGCUCACCUAGGCGACGAUCCCUAGCUGGUCUGAGAGGAUGACCAGCCACACUGGAACUGAGACACGGUCCAGACUCCUACGGGAGGCAGCAGUGGGGAAUAUUGCACAAUGGGCGCAAGCCUGAUGCAGCCAUGCCGCGUGUAUGAAGAAGGCCUUCGGGUUGUAAAGUACUUUCAGCGGGGAGGAAGGUGWURAGGUUAAUAACCUCAKCAAUUGACGUUACCCGCAGAAGAAGCACCGGCUAACUCUGUGCCAGCAGCCGCGGUA
This 528-nucleotide ribosomal RNA is filed under the name Enterobacter hormaechei. RNAcentral describes it as "bacterial SSU rRNA". It matches the Rfam family "Bacterial small subunit ribosomal RNA", at positions 1 to 522 of the family's 1533-position model. Lineage: Bacteria; Pseudomonadati; Pseudomonadota; Gammaproteobacteria; Enterobacterales; Enterobacteriaceae. The record is from RNAcentral.